This 340-nucleotide ribosomal RNA is filed under the name uncultured bacterium. RNAcentral describes it as "bacterial SSU rRNA". It matches the Rfam family "Bacterial small subunit ribosomal RNA", at positions 8 to 334 of the family's 1533-position model. The record is from RNAcentral.
AGGGUUUGAUUAUGGCUCAGGACGAACGCUGGCGGCGUGCCUAAUACAUGCAAGUCGAACGAACGGAGCUAGGAACUUGUUCCCGGCAAAGUUAGUGGCGCACGGGUGAGUAACACGUGGAGAACCUACCCUUUUGCGGGGGAUAACCAUUGGAAACGAUGACUAAUACCGCAUAGAAUCGCAGAUCGCAUGAUCAACGAAGGAAAGACGGCUUCGGCUGUCGCAAAAGGAUGGCUCCGCGGUGCAUUAGCUAGAUGGUGGGGUAACGGCCUACCAUGGCAAUGAUGCAUAGCCGACCUGAGAGGGUGAUCGGCCACAUUGGGACUGAGACACGGCCCAA